UACGUAGGGUGCGAGCGUUAAUCGGAAUUACUGGGCGUAAAGCGUGCGCAGGCGGUUGGUUAAGUCUGAUGUGAAAGCCCCGGGCUCAACCUGGGAAUGGCAUUGGAAACUGGUCAGCUGGAGUGUGGCAGAGGGGGGUGGAAUUCCGCGUGUAGCAGUGAAAUGCGUAGAGAUGCGGAGGAACACCGAUGGCGAAGGCAGCCCCCUGGGCCAACACUGACGCUCAGGCACGAAAGCGUGGGGAGCAAACAGG
RNAcentral lists this ribosomal RNA (253 nucleotides) under uncultured bacterium. Its description in RNAcentral is "partial 16S ribosomal RNA". It matches the Rfam family "Bacterial small subunit ribosomal RNA", at positions 524 to 776 of the family's 1533-position model. The record is from RNAcentral.